GACGAACGCUGGCGGCGUGCUUAACACAUGCAAGUCGAACGGAAAGGCCCUGCUUUUGUGGGGUGCUCGAGUGGCGAACGGGUGAGUAACACGUGAGUAACCUGCCCUUGACUUUGGGAUAACUUCAGGAAACUGGGGCUAAUACCGGAUAGGAGCUCCUGCUGCAUGGUGGGGGUUGGAAAGUUUCGGCGGUUGGGGAUGGACUCGCGGCUUAUCAGCUUGUUGGUGGGGUAGUGGCUUACCAAGGCUUUGACGGGUAGCCGGCCUGAGAGGGUGACCGGCCACAUUGGGACUGAGAUACGGCCCAGACUCCUACGGGAGGCAGCAGUGGGGAAUAUUGCACAAUGGGCGGAAGCCUGAUGCAGCAACGCCGCGUGCGGGAUGACGGCCUUCGGGUUGUAAACCGCUUUCGCCUGUGACGAAGCGUGAGUGACGGUAAUGGGUAAAGAAGCACCGGCUAGCUACGUGCCAGCAGCCGCGGUGAUACGUAGGGUGCGAGCGUUGUCCGGAUUUAUUGGGCGUAAAGGGCUCGUAGGUGGUUGAUCGCGUCGGAAGUGUAAUCUUGGGGCUUAACCCUGAGCGUGCUUUCGAUACGGGUUGACUUGAGGAAGGUAGGGGAGAAUGGAAUUCCUGGUGGAGCGGUGGAAUGCGCAGAUAUCAGGAGGAACACCAGUGGCGAAGGCGGUUCUCUGGGCCUUUCCUGACGCUGAGGAGCGAAAGCGUGGGGAGCGAACAGGCUUAGAUACCCUGGUAGUCCACGCUGUAAACGGUGGGUACUAGGUGUGGGGUCCAUUCCACGGGUUCCGUGCCGUAGCUAACGCUUUAAGUACCCCGCCUGGGGAGUACGGCCGCAAGGCUAAAACUCAAAGGAAUUGACAGGGCCCCGCACAAGCGGCGGAGCAUGCGGAUUAAUUCGAUGCAACGCGUAGAACCUUACCUGGGUUUGACAUGGAUCGGGAGUGCUCAGAGAUGGGUGUGCCUCUUUUGGGGUCGGUUCACAGGUGGUGCAUGCCUGUCGUCAGCUCGUGUCGUGAGAUGUUGGGUUAAGUCCCGCGACGAGCGCAACCCUUGUUCACUGUUGCCAGCACGUUAUGGUGGGGACUCAGUGGAGACCGCCGGGGUCAACUCGGAGGAAGGUGGGGAUGACGUCAAGUCAUCAUGCCCCUUAUGUCCAGGGCUUCACGCAUGCUACAAUGGCUGGUACAGAGAGUGGCGAGCCUGUGAGGGUGAGCGAAUCUCGGAAAGCCGGUCUCAGUUCGGAUUGGGGUCUGCAACUCGACCUCAUGAAGUCGGAGUCGCUAGUAAUCGCAGAUCAGCAACGCUGCGGUGAAUACGUUCCCGGGGCU
This 1346-nucleotide ribosomal RNA is filed under the name uncultured bacterium. Its description in RNAcentral is "partial 16S ribosomal RNA". It matches the Rfam family "Bacterial small subunit ribosomal RNA", at positions 28 to 1381 of the family's 1533-position model. The record is from RNAcentral.